AGCGAACGCUGGCGGCAGGCCUAACACAUGCAAGUCGAACGAACUCUUCGGAGUUAGUGGCGGACGGGUGAGUAACACGUGGGAACGUGCCUUUUGGCUCGGAAUAACUCAGGGAAACUUGUGCUAAUACCGAAUGUGCCCUUCGGGGGAAAGAUUUAUCGCCAUUAGAGCGGCCCGCGUCUGAUUAGCUAGUUGGUGAGGUAACGGCUCACCAAGGUGACGAUCAGUAGCUGGUCUGAGAGGAUGACCAGCCACACUGGGACUGAGACACGGCCCAGACUCCUACGGGAGGCAGCAGUGGGGAAUCUUGCGCAAUGGGCGAAAGCCUGACGCAGCCAUGCCGCGUGAAUGAUGAAGGUCUUAGGAGUGUAAAAUUCUUUCACCGGGGACGAUAAUGACGGUACCCGGAGAAGAAGCCCCGGCUAACUUCGUG
Molecule: ribosomal RNA, 433 nt
Filed under: uncultured bacterium
Lineage: Bacteria
Description: partial 16S ribosomal RNA
Rfam family: Bacterial small subunit ribosomal RNA
Source: RNAcentral